Molecule: ribosomal RNA, 486 nt
Filed under: uncultured bacterium
Lineage: Bacteria
Description: partial 16S ribosomal RNA
Rfam family: Bacterial small subunit ribosomal RNA
Source: RNAcentral
GACGAACGCUGGCGGCGUGCUUAACACAUGCAAGUCGAACGCUGAAGACCUGGCUUUUGUUGGGUUGGAUGAGUGGCGAACGGGUGAGUAACACGUGAGUAACCUGCCCUCUUCUUUGGGAUAACGCCCGGAAACGGGUGCUAAUACGGGAUAUUCACUGGCCUUCGCAUGGGGGUUGGUGGAAAGGUUUGUUCUGGUGGGGGAUGGGCUCGCGGCCUAUCAGCUUGUUGGUGGGGUGAUGGCCUACCAAGGCUUUGACGGGUAGCCGGCCUGAGAGGGUGACCGGUCACGUUGGGACUGAGAUACGGCCCGGACUCCUGCGGGGGGCAGCAGUGGGGAGUAAUGCACAAUGGGCGAAAGCCUGAUGCAGCGACGCCGCGUGAGGGAUGGAGGCCUUCGGGUUGUAAACCUCUUUCGCUCAUGGUCAAGCCGCAACUGUGGGUUGUGGUGAGGGUAGUGGGUAAAGAAGCGCCGGCUAACUACGUG